This 198-nucleotide ribosomal RNA is filed under the name uncultured Bacillus sp. RNAcentral's name for it is "partial 16S ribosomal RNA". It matches the Rfam family "Bacterial small subunit ribosomal RNA", at positions 335 to 524 of the family's 1533-position model. The record is from RNAcentral. Lineage: Bacteria; Bacillati; Bacillota; Bacilli; Caryophanales; Bacillaceae.
ACUCCUACGGGAGGCAGCAGUGGGGAAUAUUGGACAAUGGGCGCAAGCCUGAUCCAGCCAUGCCGUUUGAGUGAUGAUGGCUUACGGGUCGUAAAAAUAUCUAGUUAGGGCAGAACAAGUGCUAGUUAAAUAAGCCGGUACCUUGACGGUACGUAACCAGAAAGCCACGGCUAACUACGUGCCAGCAGCCGCGGUAAU